This 428-nucleotide ribosomal RNA is filed under the name uncultured bacterium. RNAcentral describes it as "bacterial SSU rRNA". It matches the Rfam family "Bacterial small subunit ribosomal RNA", at positions 356 to 775 of the family's 1533-position model. The record is from RNAcentral.
GGGGAAUAUUGCGCAACGGGGGAAACCCUGACGCAGCGACGCCGCGUGAGCGAAGAAGGCCUUAGGGUUGUAAAACUCUGUUUUAAGGGACGAAUGUCGUGGGGAGUAAUAUGCUCUGCGAAUGACGGUACCUUAAGAGGAAGCCCCGGCUAACUACGUGCCAGCAGCCGCGGUAAGACGUAGGGGGCGAGCGUUGUCCGGAAUUACUGGGCGUAAAGAGCACGUAGGCGGGAACUUAAGUCAGGUGUGAAAGACCGGGGUUCAACUCCGGGGUUGCACUUGAAACUGGGUUUCUUGAGGGCAGGAGAGGAAAGCAGAAUUCCUGGUGUAGCGGUGAAAUGCGUAGAAAUCAGGAGGAAUACCAGUGGCGAAGGCGGCUUUCUGGACUGACCCUGACGCUGAGGUGCGAAAGCGUGGGUAGCAAACAG